Molecule: ribosomal RNA, 2205 nt
Filed under: human gut metagenome
Description: bacterial LSU rRNA
Rfam family: Bacterial large subunit ribosomal RNA
Source: RNAcentral
AAAGCUUCGGGGAGUCGGCAAACAGACUUUGAUCCGGAGAUGUCUGAAUGGGGGAACCCACCUAACAUAAGUUAGGUAUCUUAAGCUGAAUACAUAGGCUUAAGAAGCGAACCAGGGGAACUGAAACAUCUAAGUACCCUGAGGAAAAGAAAUCAACCGAGAUUCCCUUAGUAGUGGCGAGCGAACGGGGACCAGCCCUUAAGCUGUAUUGAUGUUAGCGGAACGCUCUGGAAAGUGCGGCCAUAGUGGGUGAUAGCCCUGUACGCGAAAACAUCUUUACAGUGAAAUCGAGUAGGACGGAGCACGAGAAACUUUGUCUGAAUAUGGGGGGACCAUCCUCCAAGGCUAAAUACUACUGACUGACCGAUAGUGAACUAGUACCGUGAGGGAAAGGCGAAAAGAACCCCGGAGAGGGGAGUGAAAUAGAUCCUGAAACCGUAUGCGUACAAGCAGUGGGAGCCCACUUUGUUGGGUGACUGCGUACCUUUUGUAUAAUGGGUCAGCGACUUAUUUUCAGUGGCAAGCUUAACCGAAUAGGGGAGGCGUAGCGAAAGCGAGUCUUAAUAGGGCGUCUAGUCGCUGGGAAUAGACCCGAAACCGGGCGAUCUAUCCAUGGGCAGGUUGAAGGUUGGGUAACACUAACUGGAGGACCGAACCGACUACCUUUGAAAAGUUAGCGGAUGACCUGUGGAUCGGAGUGAAAGGCUAAUCAAGCUCGGAGAUAGCUGGUUCUCCUCGAAAGCUAUUUAGGUAGCGCCUCGUGUAUCACUGCUGGGGGUAGAGCACUGUUUCGGCUAGGGGGUCAUCCCGACUUACCAAACCGAUGCAAACUCCGAAUACCUACAAGUGCCGAGCAUGGGAGACACACGGCGGGUGCUAACGUCCGUCGUGAAAAGGGAAACAACCCAGACCGUCAGCUAAGGUCCCAAAGUUAUGGUUAAGUGGGAAACGAUGUGGGAAGGCUUAGACAGCUAGGAGGUUGGCUUAGAAGCAGCCACCCUUUAAAGAAAGCGUAAUAGCUCACUAGUCGAGUCGGCCUGCGCGGAAGAUGUAACGGGGCUCAAACCAUACACCGAAGCUACGGGUUCAUCCUUUGGAUGAGCGGUAGAGGAGCGUUCUGUAAGCCUGUGAAGGUGAGUUGAGAAGCUUGCUGGAGGUAUCAGAAGUGCGAAUGCUGACAUGAGUAACGAUAAUGGGUGUGAAAAACACCCACGCCGAAAGACCAAGGUUUCCUGCGCAACGUUAAUCGACGCAGGGUUAGUCGGUCCCUAAGGCGAGGCUGAAAAGCGUAGUCGAUGGAAAACAGGUUAAUAUUCCUGUACUUCUGGUUAUUGCGAUGGAGGGACGGAGAAGGCUAGGCCAGCUUGGCGUUGGUUGUCCAAGUUUAAGGUGGUAGGCUGGAAUCUUAGGUAAAUCCGGGAUUCUAAGGCCGAGAGCUGAUGACGAGUUAACUUUUAGUUAACGAAGUGGUUGAUGCCAUGCUUCCAAGAAAAGCUUCUAAGCUUCAGGUAACCAGGAACCGUACCCCAAACCGACACAGGUGGUUGGGUAGAGAAUACCAAGGCGCUUGAGAGAACUCGGGUGAAGGAACUAGGCAAAAUGGCACCGUAACUUCGGGAGAAGGUGCGCCGGUGAGGGUGAAGUAUUUACUACGUAAGCCCAUGCCGGUCGAAGAUACCAGGCCGCUGCGACUGUUUAUUAAAAACACAGCACUCUGCAAACACGAAAGUGGACGUAUAGGGUGUGACGCCUGCCCGGUGCCGGAAGGUUAAUUGAUGGGGUUAGCUAACGCGAAGCUCUUGAUCGAAGCCCCGGUAAACGGCGGCCGUAACAAUAACGGUCCUAAGGUAGCGAAAUUCCUUGUCGGGUAAGUUCCGACCUGCACGAAUGGCGUAACGAUGGCGGCGCUGUCUCCACCCGAGACUCAGUGAAAUUGAAAUCGCUGUGAAGAUGCAGUGUAUCCGCGGCUAGACGGAAAGACCCCGUGAACCUUUACUAUAGCUUUGCACUGGACUUUGAAUUUGCUUGUGUAGGAUAGGUGGGAGGCUUUGAAGUGUGGACGCCAGUCUGCAUGGAGCCAACCUUGAAAUACCACCCUGGCAACUUUGAGGUUCUAACUCAGGUCCGUUAUCCGGAUCGAGGACAGUGUAUGGUGGGUAGUUUGACUGGGGCGGUCUCCUCCUAAAGAGUAACGGAGGAGUACGA